GGCUAAACCGCGGCUCGGGCGGAUGACGCGACGAAAAAUACUAUUUUAAUCAAAUUCGGGCGGGUGGCGGUUUAACGACGCAUGGACCCAUAGAACUCCUCACGGGCGCCGUGUCGUCUCACGUACACCGUGUGCACCGCGCCUUUUUUUUAAUCGAGACUCGUUUUCGUUGUUUGCUAUAUGAUUGUUCUAAAAUCUAAAAUCGUGGGUGCAAAUGGAGAGUUUGGAGUUCAAGUUUUUAGAUUAUCACCACAAAAUUGCAUAAAAGCUUUGGUUGGAAUUAAACACUAAAACAUAUUUUCUGUUUUACAGGUGACUACCCAACAUGCUGUGGAGCUGUAAAUACUAUUUGUCUGGAAUUCAAAAGGAUUGUGGGAAAAGACCUGCACCAGGAAUUUUAUUCUACCCUUGAUAACCACACUACCCAUUUUAUUGAAAGUUUUAAAGCUAAGAGGGGCAACGUGGGUGACAGUUGGCACAGCUUUUGCAGCAAAUACAGUCACUGGAUUCUACUGAAAAAAGGACAGUCACACUAAGAGGUCUUCCUUACUUACUCGGAGACAGUCCCA
This is a long non-coding RNA of Boleophthalmus pectinirostris (great blue-spotted mudskipper), 569 nucleotides long. RefSeq lists it as uncharacterized. The record is from RefSeq and is a predicted model, not a curated record. NCBI's taxonomy places the organism in Eukaryota, Metazoa, Chordata, Actinopteri, Gobiiformes, Gobiidae. The transcript has 3 exons.